CCGUUCGACGUAGAUGCGCAUUUAUGGCAAUCGUCAUUAAAUACAGACUGUGUAUUUAUCUUGAUAUUAUGGGAACGGUCACACAGGUGAAGGUUUUAAUUAAUCAAUUAUAUUAUUAGUAUAGAAUAUAGAUGCUUACGUUUUCACAGUCGAAAGAAACGGUUGAGAGUCACUUUACACCACAUUCAGAUCGGACCUAAAGAAUUGCAACAAUUGGACAUUUAUGGGAAAAUUAAACACAAUAAAGAGAUAAGCAUACUUUCUCCGAUUCUUUCGAUCUGUGUUAAUGCUAUUCGCCACAUUUCAGAGGAAAUGUCUUAGGGAAGGAUUUUGGAAAUACAUUUUCAGAGAAUGGCAUAUAUACUCUUGAAUGGACUAGAUGUUGUGAUGGCGUUUUGGAUCGCGAUGUUGAGACGGCGCAAGUUAGCUGCAGUUGAGAAUGUCUGUCGGAUCAACUUUAUUAUUCUUACACGAUCGGUUAAGCCCUUAUAUUAACAGCUUGGAUGUUCGGAAACUGUUUUAUUGACGCCAAAUGUGACGUUAAAUUUACCGAUUGAGACGACUGACGAGACUGUGUUAUUUACUUUGGCCAAUCGAGUUGGAGUAAAUAGCAUGGCGCUUGUCUUCCCGGACUUGACGAUUAAAAACAAGUGCUUGCUCCCGUUAAUUAAGAAAACAUAAAAUGCGAAGAUACUCACCAAAGGAAUUUUGCCUUAUUUACAAUUUAAUAUUUCUGACUUCAAGGAAAACUCGCUUAGCAAUCAUUACGACAAAUUUAUUGUCGAGAAGUAGCUGAUUCCCGAAACUGGGGAUAGUGAAACAUUCAACAUAAUUGGACAGAGUAUCAUAAUUUUCGCCAGAUAUACAUUUAUACACGAUUAUUUACUGAUAUAUAUGUGUCGUAUUUUUGAGAUGUUUGUUCAUGAUUCAUGGCAGUCGCAAUGGUCAAACGGUCAUGGGCAAAUCGUGUUUUUUAUACAUAAUAAUACAAAAAUAUGCGGUAGGACGGGUACAGAGAGGGAUUCAUACAAUGACUCGACGCUGCCAAUAAUGUUUGUUGAUCGAAGCGCGGACGGCUGCGUCGGACCGUUGUAUGCCCUCAGUUCGGAUCGUAUGAACAAAGCGAAACUCAUAGACCUCUAUAAAAGCAAUAACUGUUGUGUGUAUUUUGUUCGGAUUACUUUGGUCAUUCGCAAUAUAUUAGCAUAACAGCAACCUAGAAACUACCUCAUGGUGCUCACGGUUAGGUUUCAGGAUCUCCUCGGCCACCCGGCCAAUACACCUUUUCACGGCUAUUUGGAGGCGAUCUCAGAAACUGGACGCGCUUUAUAAAUAUAGAUAAUUAUUUUAAUAUAGAUUAACACUCCACUCGUGACAUCUGGAGUGAUACACAACGAGAGUAUUUUUAAAAAUCCGCGAAGUAUUCUGUAAACAAGCAAUAUUAUACAAUUUUAUGAAGUUUUUCGUAGUUUUAGAUCUAAGCACGACGCAGGCGCGGCGCUUUUCCUUUGACGGCAUUACAGUUGUUUUCAACUUAUUCUUACCUCACCGCUCAAUAAAUUAACGACAGUCUUUUUAUCUGAUCUAACUUCAUUUUUAAGCAGUGGCGGCGUCGUGUUUACGCAGUAAUUUAGCAACGUCAAAAAGUAUGUGCCUUAAAGAGGAAAUAUUAUUUUAGAGCGCUUUGUAUGUGUACAGACAGUUUAGUAGCGUUUAGCAAAGAUAGAUGACGACGUUAUUUUUAAGAGAGAAGCGAUAGAUUAGAUUUAUUAUUUAACGAUGUAUGAGUAGAUAGCAUCCGUAUUGAUGUUUGUACACAGACAAUGCACACCGUUACAAGUAAGCGAUAUGGCGAAUAUUGUGAUAUGCUAUGCGAGUUCCAUGCACUAGUCGAUAGCCGACCGACACCGGCCGUGACACAUACCCCGGACUUGACUUUAUGGUAUUUUUCAUUUCCACCGGCAUAAUCGCUUUUUACUCAAUGUGUGGAUAAAGUCUAUGUUUAACAUCUCGCAGAUGAUCCGUUGACAGUUUCGUAGUUCUCCGGAGUACUUAGAGUUCAUUACGUUGCGUGGUUUAGGGUACGUGCCUUAGUUUAUUCUAGUGUAGUCUAUGAAAAUGUCAUCAGUCGGUCACGAUUCACCAUCCAGAGGGCCCGAAGACUUACCCAACUGUCAGUUAUAAUGAGUGCCUCAAGGUUUAACUGCGGCGAUCCAUUGAGUAACAGAGCACAUGUUGGUCAAUUUUAAUUUUAAUAUUAACAUUGGUUCUCGUUGGGUUAUCUUACGAUUAGCGACCAUUUGUUCAAGUGUUAGUUACAUUUUCUAUGAUAAUUUAAUGAUGAGUUCGUGUACGUGUGAUCAUCAGUUAAUUACUUUAUGAUGCGGUUUGAAGUUAUAUAAGGGUCUGACUUAAUACUAUCAGUUCGCAGGCGUCAUCUAACUGGAAGAACAGACGAUUAUAAAUAACUUCAGAUCAUUUUUUAUUAGUAUAUAUACUUUAGUAAAAUAUUAAUGCUGUACGAAAUCGUCAAUAACAGUUUCAAUACAUAUUAAGAAUGAAUCGAAAGGGCUGAUGAAGUGGAAUGAUUUUAUUUCAACGGCAAGAUGUCUAGUUUCAUGUAGCUGUUGCGGAGGAUGGAUGUUUAUAAGUAGCAGUUUUGAGCAAAGAUUUGACGAGAAAGACGUAUUGGUAUUUACUAUUGAGCAGUCCGAGCAAUUGAAACUUGACAUAAAGUUCCUAAGUUGUAUUUGAAGUUCGAUCCGAUAGAAUAUUUUCAACAUUGAUGAUUGAUCCUUUUUAAAACUCACCCGCACUAAGUUUAAUCGCU
Vanessa tameamea is the source of this 2830-nucleotide long non-coding RNA. RefSeq lists it as uncharacterized. The transcript has 2 exons. Lineage: Eukaryota; Metazoa; Arthropoda; Insecta; Lepidoptera; Nymphalidae. The record is from RefSeq and is a predicted model, not a curated record.